ACUGUCCCUAGAGGUGUUCCAGAGCUGUGUGGAUGUGGCACUGAGGACAUGGCAGGUCAUCUGAGGCAGCACAACUGUUUGGUUGGUUACUCCAGAUUCUUAAAGACAAGAUUGGACAUGCUUGUUUUGACCAGAGGACAGUCUCUUCUGGUGUCAUGCUGUAAGAGACAUCAUGAUCAGAAGGUGAGGAAAGAGGAAACAGCUCCUUCAGGGGAAGAGGCAAGGAAGAAAGGAAACAGAAGGAAGAAACGAAAAGGAAGGAAGAAAACACAAGGGAAGGAUGGGAGAGAGGGAGGGAGGAAGGAAGGGAAGAGGGAAGGAAGGAAAGAAAAGGAAGGAAUGAAAAGG
Molecule: long non-coding RNA, 348 nt
Organism: Gallus gallus (chicken)
Lineage: Eukaryota; Metazoa; Chordata; Aves; Galliformes; Phasianidae
Source: Ensembl